CCCUUAGAUGUUCUGGGCCGCACGCGCGCUACACUGAUGCAUUCAACGAGCCUAUCCUUGACCGACAGGUCCGGGAAAUCUUUGAAUCUGCAUCGUGACGGGGAUAGAUUAUUGCAAUUAUUAAUCUUCAACGAGGAAUGCCUAGUAGGCGCAAGUCAUCAGCUUGCGUCGAUUACGUCCCUGCCCUUUGUACACACCGCCCGUCGCUCCUACCGAUUGGGUGUGCUGGUGAAAUGUUCGGAUCGGCCGUUUGUCGCGGUUUCCGCGUCAUGUGGCUGAGAAGUUCAUUAAACCCUCCCACCUAGAGGAAGGAGAAGUCGUAACA
Molecule: ribosomal RNA, 325 nt
Filed under: uncultured eukaryote
Lineage: Eukaryota
Description: partial 18S ribosomal RNA
Rfam family: Eukaryotic small subunit ribosomal RNA
Source: RNAcentral